UCUUAAAAUUUUCAUUCUUUUGUACUAUUGAAAAUUAGCGUAACUAAUAGAGUAAACAAAUAGUGACACGUGAUAUGUCACGUGUACUUUACGAUAGUGUAUAAAAAUCAAUUUUCAACAAUAAAUAAAAAUAAAAUUUUUAACA
This is a microRNA precursor of Gossypium arboreum, 145 nucleotides long. It matches the Rfam family "MIR7502 microRNA precursor family". NCBI's taxonomy places the organism in Eukaryota, Viridiplantae, Streptophyta, Magnoliopsida, Malvales, Malvaceae. The record is from Rfam.